UACGGAGGGUGCGAGCGUUGUCCGGAAUCACUGGGCGUAAAGGGCGCGUAGGCGGCUUGAUAAGCGUGCGGUGAAAGCCCGGGGCUCAACCCCGGGUCGGCCGUGCGAACUGUCGAGCUGGAGCACUGUAGAGGCAGGUGGAAUUCCGGGUGUAGCGGUGGAAUGCGUAGAGAUCCGGAAGAACACCGGUGGCGAAGGCGGCCUGCUGGGCAGUGGCUGGACGCUGAGGCGCGACAGCGUGGGGAGCAACAGGAUUGAGAAAACCCGU
RNAcentral lists this ribosomal RNA (268 nucleotides) under uncultured bacterium. Its description in RNAcentral is "partial 16S ribosomal RNA". It matches the Rfam family "Bacterial small subunit ribosomal RNA", at positions 524 to 790 of the family's 1533-position model. The record is from RNAcentral.